CAUGCCCAGGAUCUGAACCUGUGAACCCCGCGUGCUGCUGAAGCGGAGUGCACGAAUUUAACCACUACACCACUGCGCCGGACCCCAGUAAAUGCUAUUCUUGAUAACGACUUUCCUCCUCUCUCAUCUAUACACUAAGAACAAUUGUAUCUCUCGUACUGCAGUUGGCAAACUCUUGUAUUUAUUAUAAAUAAAAAUUUACAAAUCUUCUACUUCCUAAAUUCUAAACUCCUUGCAGGCAGGGUCUGUCCCUUCAACAUCUCUGUAUUUCCAAUAGGGUUUUGUAGGUGACUUAUGCUCAGCUAUUGGUUGAACUCAUCCAGGCUCAUAGUUCCUUGACAGCUUUGAGAAUGUCUCCUUCUUUUGGUGCCUCUGGCAUCUAUAAACACUCAAUAAAUAUUGAUUUAAUUUGCAUUCAAAUGAUAUCUUAAUAUCACAAGAAUUCACCUUGUUGUUGAAUUCCCACAUUCAAAACCUAAGCUUAUAAUAGAUGCUCUUUACAAAGGCUUAUUCAUGUAACAAUUUUAACUUCUGGUAUUUUUGUGUCGUAUAUAACGUCAACAAUUGAGCAAGCAGAUGGUCUGUUCCUUUUUGAAAGGGAGCAACGUGAAAUAGGAGAAUUGUUGCUCAGGCCGGAUGAUUAUUCCCGAAACAGAACUGGUAGAAUUAUCCCCUGCUCUCUAAUCACCUUUUCUAUCUUGCUUCUGUGUAAUUUCCUCUGUUUUUCAGAAGAAUUAGAACUUGAGGACACUGGAGCCCACCGCCUCUAGGCUUGAUACGAGCUGCAAACAUGAUGAGGGAGGGAGGAAAUGAAUGUUUUCUAUGGUACAAGCAAGAACUCAGUUAGUCUGCUGUGUUUGCUAAGAGAAAUACUCCAUGAGCAAAGUGAAGAUAAUAUUUGAUGCCAUAUUUUUUCCUUCAUUUUCCAAUAUUAUAUCAUCAGUUUGUCCCCCUUGCUUUGGAUACAUGAAGACGCUACUUGAGAUAAAAGGUAAUCUUGAAAUUGAAAUUUGAUGAUUUCGCUUCAGAACUUUAAGCAGCAAAAUUUGGGGUGAAAGGUAUGCAUAAGAGUAAAAGUAUAUUUUUAUAUACCCAUAAAAUAUAUACUAAAAAGCUUGAUCUAAAAUUGAGAUACAAAUAUAGGAAACUGCUGUUGUAGCAAAUAUUUAUUGAGACUUCACCGUAUGUACUACUUGUCACUUUGAAACAUUCAGAAUUCAGUGGGUUUGUUGUUGCUUUUUGGUUAUGAAUUUGGUAUUAUCCCUUUUUCACAAUCUUGAGAAAUUCACCUUACCAUAUGUUUUUCGUAAGAAUUGAAAUGACCAGCAAAAUUGCUGACACCAAAGUUUAAUUUACUAGAUUUAUUUUCUCCCCUGGCUAUUUAGUAGUAAAGGAUAGCCAUUAUAUUUCGGAAUAAAAAAACAAAGUAUUCGCAUCUUUUUUAAAUAGACGAAGUUGUUAUAGGAUAUUAAUCACAUUUAAAGUCUUUACUUUCUUUCUGGCUAGGAUGAGUUUUUUUUUUUCCCCUGUCCUUUAAUAUUGAUAUGAUGUAGGAAAAUAAUAACCCAUUUACCAAGGAAAGAAAGCUUAUCCAGAUGUAGCUGUGUUUUUUACAUUUAACAGCUCUUGUUAUAUUUAAAGACUUUAUUACUUAUUGUCCUUACACAAGAACUGGAAAAUGCUCUUUAUUUCGAAAGGCAAUCCAUUGGUUGGAGCUUGGGCUUUGAAGACCGAAGAGUGGAUUCAAAUUGUGAUUCUGCCAAUGAGUACCUGAGUCUUACCGAGAGUUCCUUAGACUUUCUAAGUUGCAAUUUUAUUUUCCACCUAGUAGAAAUAGCACCUAUUUUUGCAUAAUUACUAAAGGAUUUUCAGACACAGGAUUUGACAUGUUGUAAUUGAGCAACAGAUAUAGCUAUUAAUUUAUUAUAUGAGCUGUGAGAAGCAGUGGGAGGAGUUGAUGGGGCGGUGAUGGUGGGAAGAAGAUUCUUAAGACCUCAGAUUAUUCACUUUGCUGUAACAUGACAAUCCAGGAAAGGAACAAAGGGACUCCACAUUCUCCCUUAGAUAUCUAAUAAUUCAAAAAACACCAUGCUCAAUUCAGCUAUAAGCUUGGACUCUUUAUAGAGUUUUGUUUGAAUAGUGCGAUCGGUUCAGUGUGAUCCAUUGCUUGGGUUUAACCUGGGUCCUCUGAUUUUUCCCGUAACCCUUUCAGACUUUCAUUUCUUGUUGCACAGAUGGUGAGAAAAUAUGUUUAGUAGCUGGGCAGGUAAACCAAUCCUAUUUUGCAUGAGCAGUCCCCCUCUUGUGUAAAGAAGUAGUUUCCAUUCUUCAAAUGGAAAACGUUCCAAUUUCAAAUUCUUUAGGAAUAGGUGAAAAGGUCCUAUUCAGUAAAUGGUUAAUUUAGACCUAUAUUUUUUCUCCUCCAGUUUCUGCCAUAAUUUGGCUUGUCUUUUUCCGACAUAAGAUCUGUUAGACUAGUACAGGUUUCAUCACAGAAGUAAAUAACAGCAUGUUUCCUUGGGAGCAAUCGAACAACAGAAUAAAACAGUGCUUACUGUUUUUUGAAAGUUGUGUCAGAUUGUCAUGGUAAUACAGAGUUGCAUCAUGUUGUCAUAGCAACCAGAAUUAUAAAACGGAUUUAAAGAGGUUGAAGAGAUACCCUUUGGUGUUGUGAUUCCUUUAACUUUAAAGAUUUCUUUCCUCCUCUACUUCUGUUUAUUUCAUUUUGCUUCCUUUUUGUAAAAUGUGGAAGGGGGAGCAUGGCUAGAGGGAAUAAUGGGAAUCCAUACUUCUUCCCAAUUGAAGAGUUGCAGCAAAAUGCGUGAGUCCUCACAUUCUCUUUGAGCCAGGUAGAAUUCAGGGGCUGGAACACGGAAUCAGAUACACUGCUGUGUCAAGCCAUCCCAAUCUCGAGCAGGAGGAAGUUCCACUCCGAGUGGGUUGAAAAGUAUGAAUUCUCCAGUCAUCUUGAAUGAGAAGGAAAAAUCUAGUCUCUGAAAGAUUCGAGAGGAGCUCUUUUAAAAAUGGCCAGUUUACUGGUUAGUUGUCUUACUUAUACAAAAACUAAAGAUAAUCGAUUGAUCACCAUGACCCUACCCCCACACAUACACAAUGGCAAUAAAAAAUGAAUAAUACCAAUGUUUUUAAAAAGUUGAGAAAACCAUGCUUCGUAAUGCUCUGUAUGAAUGGCUCUGAGUGAAUUGCCUUAGCUCUGUGCCUUGUUCUUAGGACUAGGAAAGAGACUAGCUACUGGCUACAUUUUGACCUUUAGAGAUGGCUUUAGAAUCUCUGCUCACACUUUAUUUCUCUGUUACUAUUCAGAUGUAGGUCUUUGAUUUGUUUCAGUUGUCAUUCUUUAGUUAUUAUUGAACCAUGGCAGCUAUUACAACUUGUAUUAUUUUUUAUGAGAAAAAAAUGAUGUUAAUUGAUAAUCACUUGGCCAGUCUCAGUUAAGUGUAGGGUAUCGUCUCAUAGAUUUACCAUAGUGAAAUUUAUGUUGGAUUGCUGCAGAGGAUGUUGUCAGCCAUAGCUUAGUGUGUCCUGAAAGGGCUAAAGUGUGUCCUUUGUUAACUAAUAUUACCAGAACCUGAAGUUAAGCAUUAGGAAUAGUCUCCUUUAUUGUGUAUGUCAUUUUCACUACUUAUUUUUUGAGCCAUUUAUGAUGGUGGACCAGAUUGUCUCAAUAUAUGAGUGAUUAGGAAGUUGUAGAAACUGAGAACAGUAGCACAGGUUUUCAUUAAUACUGAAACUUGAGAUGUUCCUUUGCAAAUUUCAGUUUAUAUAAGCUGGUUAAUUCUUUAUUGGAUUUAUCCUAAAGAAAUAAUUUUCAAACUCUUUUUUUAGCAACAGUCAUUUGUGUCAAAGCCAUGGCUAUACUUGGGUUAUAAAGAUUUCUUAAUAUGUGCCAGGGCAGUAUUUCUCAAUCUUUUUAGUGCAUGCCCUGCUUUGAUAAAUAUGAAAACUUCACCCACUCCAUCGGUUGACUGUCCAUCCAUAUUCCAAUUGAGAACCACUAUUCCUGAUAGUUAAUAAAUAUCAGAAAACACAUAUAAUUCCAUUCUUCUUGACUUUAGAUUUAACAUUAACGUCUCCCAAUAUGCUUCCUUUGUUUAAUUAUGAAUGAGAUACAUUCAUCCAUUCAGAAAAUUUAUUGGAGCCCCAGCAACUGCCUAUGCUCCAGGCAUUACACCUGGCCCUGGGAAUACCGCAGUAAAAGGGGGCCUAUCUUGGAAAGUAAAAACUUAGACACGUAAUUACAAUAAAUGCAGUAAGGUGAUGAUAGAGAAAGGGCCAUAUGUUGUACCAUUAUGUUUCCCACAUUGUUACCUUAUGUCUAAUAGUUUCCCCAAAAUACUUGCUGAGAGAAUGAUGAAUGAAAUCACUAUUUUCUCUGAGUAGUACAUAAGGUAUAUAAAUAGUUAAAAUGAUUUGUAUAGUACUUUGUGAUUUCCAAAGUGUAACAUUGCUCGUAUUCUAUAUUCCUCUCAUGGAGAAAUCUUCACAGAUGUCAGUUGAGCACAGUAAGUAAUGAGGAGGCCUAAUAAGUUAAUAAAUGUAUCUUACAUAUGCAGAUUUUCUUAAGUAGGUAUGCCUGAGCAAAUCAUUGGAUUAAUCCCAGUAUUAUUUCAUGGGCAAAUGAAGUAAUGGUGUUUCCUUUAUGGUAUACCCUUACCAAUGAUUGAGAAAGUGGUAUGGCUAGUAGUCGUUAGUGCAUCCCUAAAAAGAGCAAUUAAUAAUAAUAUUAGCUUAUGCUUACAUGGUAGUUACUAUGUGCUUUGCUCCAUUCUAAGCACUGUAGGUGUUUUAGCUUAUUUAUUCCUAACAACCCUGAGAGGCAGUUACUAUUAUGAUGUCCAUUUUAUCAAUGAGGAAACAGGCACAGAGAAGUUUGUUUCUGGUUUAUUUUCAGGUUCCCUCUUCCUUUCAUUGACAUUACCUUCUUCAGUCUCUCUUGCACAAAAAUUCAGAAUUGUGCUUGACUCUCCUGUCUGUUUUCCCUUCCACACCUCUCUCACCAAUCAUCUUUCUGGCUUAAUUCAUUCAACAAUGCUAGGCUUUGAGACAAGUAAUAUAAACUUAGCGCUUUGUGGAAUUAUAUUAUUAGUUGCUUGUUUACUUUGUGCUUUCUCCCAGAAGGAAAGCUCCUUAAAGGCAUAUCAUUUGCCUUGCUCUCUGCUGUAUCUCUAGCACCUGCAGUAAUGCCUGGAGCAUAGGUGGUACCCAAUGAACACUUCUUACAUGAAUGAAACACAAAGAUACCACCACCCUCUAAGGUAGAUACAAACAUGUAACAGUGUGAUGAGCAGGACAAUUUUGUCUGGUCUUCCUUCAAAUGUGUCAUGGCUAAUUCCUUCUUUUUCAGUCGCACUGCUCAUAAGGAGCCUUUUUUCUUCUCUCUUGACUUGUUGCCUCUUGUCUACUACCUGGACUUCCUGUUCUCUAUCUUUCUUCUCUCCCAUCCAUCCAGUCCUUUCUUCCAGGAUGAUCUUCCCAAGUCAUAUCAUGUCCUAGCUCAAAAUUGGGUUGUCAGUGAGAUAUUUCCUAUGUCUGUGCCUUGUUCCCUCAACUCCACAGUAAACUCUGGCAGGGAUUGUGGCAAAGUUCCUUACUAUUCUCCCACAGAAUGGCUAUAUAUGGUAUUGAUCACAUGAAUUGACAGUAUAUAGUAAAUACAUUGACUCCAUAUGGGAUGAUUCAGGAAGUGUGGGACACAUUAAAAAACUGAAGAAGCAUAUUAGUUGCCUGUUGCUGAAUAACAAAUUACCACAAAUUUAGCAGUUUGAAAUAACAUGAGUUUAGUCCCUCAUAGUUCUGUAGGUCAGGAGACUGGGCACCAGCUGACUGGAUACUCUGCGUAGGGUCUCACUGGGUGAAACUGAGGUGUCAGCCAGGGCUGUGGUUCAUACCUGGACUCAGAGUCCUCCUCUGAGCUCACUAGUCAUUGACAGAAUUCACUUCCUUGCAGCGAUAGGACUGAGCUCCCUAUUUUCCUUCUGGCUCCUGGCCAGGGACCACACUCAUUUCCCAUUGGCAGUUCCUUGCCAUGUAGCCCCCAUAGAUGUUUGGUUUCUUCUAGGCCGGAUGGGGUACAUCUCUCUUCCUCUUCUGAGACCAGCCAGGGAAAACUCUUUGCGUUUAUAGGACUCAUGUGAUUAGGUCAGGCCCACCUGGAUAGUUUCUCUAUCAUAAGGUCAACUGACUUGGGACUUUACUUACAUCUACAAAAUCCCUCAUAGCAGUACCAGGAUCUAGCGUUACUGAAUGAGCGGAGAAGGGACACCAGGGGCCAGGAAUCUGGGAGGGCACCUUAGCAUUCUGCCUGCUCCAAGGAGUUACAGAUUCUGUGGUCUUAAAAGGAAAUUUACUUCUAAAGGUGAUGCUUCAGGACAAGUGUACAAGAUUGCUGGUAUAGUCUUUACUCAACCAAUAUUUCUGGAAGCUCUCUUGAAAUUCAUCAAGCACUACUCUAGCAGUGUUUGCAUGCUCCAUCGGUGAGAUAAAAUUGGACAACUAAUUUAGCAUCUUCCCUCAAAUACCAAAUUUUGAUGACGGCAUUGUAGAAGGUGUUAUUUCUGGGAGAAGUAAUAAAUUUGUAAAGCUAUUUUAGUUAAGCUCAAUCGUUGAAGUGUUCUCAAGAAAAAUACUUUUAUAUUAUGUUAAAAGCAAGUAACAAACUCCAAUGUGGAAGCAACACUCUAAAGAACUGAAAGGAAGCAGGGCAAGGAUUUAGGAAAACUGACUUCUAGUCCCUGUUUUGUUCUUGUGGGGCAGUAUUUGAGAUGUCUUCAACAUCUCGGUACUAUAGAUAUUUCUUUUAUCCUGGGGAUAUGGUAUUUGACUUGCUCCUCUCAGGUUAGUGUUAGGAGACUAAAAUUUGCAAAUCUCUAUGAAAUAUUGACUAUUCUAACUUACUGAAUCUUUAAAUAUUGAGUCUUAGAUAUUUAAAAUGAAUACGGGGUAGUCAUGUCAUGAUACUGUGUUCACCUAUGUUUUCUCUGCCAGAACCUUAUUUUAGGCCUAAGCCAAUGAAAACAUAUGGCAUUAUUAGUAGUGUUAAAGAUGGAAGGAAUGCUUAGAUUUUCUAGUUGGGAGAUGGUCUGCCUUAUUUGGAGAUACUAUAGAUGCUGGUUUAUUUUAAUGAAAAAAGAUGCUUUCACUAGUUCUAAAAUACUUAUGAUGUUCUCAUUCCAUUCUGUAAGAAGAAUAGAACUAUUUUUUUUUCCCAGAGUUGUUGUAUUACAGUGAUUAAAGGGGAAAAACAUAUAUAUUUUACAAAGCAACUAUGAGUCAAACACACUUUUCCAUGAGAGUACAUUUAGAACCAGGAAAUAUCGCUUCUUGUUUUCGGUAGUUUCCUGUCUAAAGAAAAUCCAGUUUAUGUCACUUACCUGCCUUUCAAACCAUCACUCAUUUUAGAGACUACUGUGAGCUGAUUACAGUGUAAUUUCUUUGCUGUGUUAAGUUAUAUGUAUGAAAUUUGCAACCUAAUGUGUAUCUGUACCUCUAGAUGGCUGACAAUCUUAGAAAAGAGGUAGGUAGUGCCUUUUCACAUAUCCUUACAUUUAUGCAUCUACAAAGGUUUGGGAAUCAGACCAGAAUUUGAAUUUUGACUCUGCUGCUUACUAGCUGUGUGAGCUUCGGCAAGUUACUUAACCUCUCUGAGCUUAAAUCUCAUCUGUAAAAUGGAGAUGAAUAUUUCUUCAUCAUGGGAUACCUAGAAUUAAAUAAAAAGGCAUAAGUGCCUAACCUGAUGUCUAGGACAUUCUAAUGACCAAUACUUAUCGUUUUCUACCUCUCCUCUUUUAUAGUCCUGAUCACAUAUCUGUUUUGAUAGUAAUCUCCUUAUUCAUUAGCAAACAGUUACCGAAUUUUUGUUCUGUGCUAGAAUCUGUGUCAGGUGCUGAAAAUACAAGGAUGAAUAAGACAUGGCCCUUGCCCACAAAGAGGGCAAGACCAACUUAUAGGAAA
Molecule: non-coding RNA, 7968 nt
Organism: Equus caballus (horse)
Lineage: Eukaryota; Metazoa; Chordata; Mammalia; Perissodactyla; Equidae
Source: RefSeq, a predicted model, not a curated record